RNAcentral lists this transfer RNA (57 nucleotides) under Mesocricetus auratus (golden hamster). Lineage: Eukaryota; Metazoa; Chordata; Mammalia; Rodentia; Cricetidae. The record is from Rfam by way of RNAcentral.
GUGGCUCAGUGGUUAAGAGCACUCAUUCUCACAGAGGACCUGGGUUCAAUUCCCAGC